GUUGGGAAUCUUGCACAAUGGGGGAAACCCUGAUGCAGCGACGCCGCGUGGAGGACGAAGGGUCUAGGCCUGUAAACUCCUUUUAUCGGGAAAGACUUAGGACGGUACCCGAUGAAUAAGGACCGGCUAACUACGUGCCAGCAGCCGCGGUGAGACGUAGGGUCCAAGCGUUGUCCGGAUUUACUGGGCGUAAAGAGCGCGUAGGCGGCUCGUUAAGUGUGAAGUGAAAUCUCUAGGGCUCAACCCAGAAAUUGCUUUACAUACUGGCGAGCUAGAGGGAUGCAGAGGUUUGUGGAAUUCCUGGUGUAGCGGUGAAAUGCGUAGAUAUCAGGAGGAACACCCAUGGCGAAGGCAGCAAACUGGGCAUCAUCUGACGCUGAGGCGCGAAAGCGUGGGUAGCAAACAGGAUUAGAUACCCGGGUAGUCC
This 427-nucleotide ribosomal RNA is filed under the name uncultured bacterium. RNAcentral describes it as "bacterial SSU rRNA". It matches the Rfam family "Bacterial small subunit ribosomal RNA", at positions 354 to 796 of the family's 1533-position model. The record is from RNAcentral.